UACGAGAGGCCCAAACGUUAUUCGGAUUCACUGGGCUUAAAGAGUUCGUAGGCGGUCUGGAAAGUUGGGUGUGAAAGCCCUCGGCUCAACCGAGGAACUGCGCUCAAAACUACCAGACUUGAGGGAGAUAGAGGUGAGCGGAACUGAUGGUGGAGCGGUGAAAUGCGUUGAUAUCAUCAGGAACACCGGAGGCGAAGGCGGCUCACUGGGUCUCUACUGACGCUGAGGAACGAAAGCUAGGGGAGCAAACGGG
RNAcentral lists this ribosomal RNA (253 nucleotides) under uncultured bacterium. RNAcentral describes it as "partial 16S ribosomal RNA". It matches the Rfam family "Bacterial small subunit ribosomal RNA", at positions 524 to 776 of the family's 1533-position model. The record is from RNAcentral.